AUACGUAGGAUGCGAGCGUUGUCCGGAUUUACUGGGCGUAAAGGGCGAGUAGGCGGCCUGUUAAGUCUCAUGUGAAAUCUCCCGGCUUAACUGGGAGGGGUCAUGGAAUACUGCCAUGCUCGAGGGCAUUAGAGGAGAGCGGAAUUCCGGGAGUAGCGGUGAUAUGCGUAGAUACCCGGAGGAACACCCGUGGCGAAAGCGGCUCUCUGGGCUGUACCUGACGCUAAGGCACGAAAGCGUGGGGAGCAAACCGGAUUAGAAACCCCGGUAGUCC
Molecule: ribosomal RNA, 274 nt
Filed under: uncultured bacterium
Lineage: Bacteria
Description: partial 16S ribosomal RNA
Rfam family: Bacterial small subunit ribosomal RNA
Source: RNAcentral